This is a long non-coding RNA of Lagopus muta (rock ptarmigan), 1851 nucleotides long. RefSeq lists it as uncharacterized. The transcript is spliced from 5 exons. Lineage: Eukaryota; Metazoa; Chordata; Aves; Galliformes; Phasianidae. The record is from RefSeq and is a predicted model, not a curated record.
UCUCCUGUGCUGCCGGAAGCCUGGCUCCACUCCCCCUAGGCCCAUUUAAGAGCUGGCUACCAGUGAGGAAGGAUCUCUUCUGGAGAUCUGCUCUGCUGGAGUUUUGUAAGUGAGCCUGGGCUACGGCCAUGUGUUCUUGCAGGUGGCGAGCACAAACACAGACCUGACUACAGUCAUCCAGUGGACUUAAAAUGUAAUGAGUUGCAAUAACUGCUUUGCAGAAAAGUAGGAUUCAAGUGCUCUCAAAAGCAUCGGUGAGCACUGGACAUCCUCAUCUCCAGUGUGACUGCAGAUCACAGCAUGCCCUCAGUUUCAAAAGAAAGGAUAACAGCUUCAAUCCCCUUUUCUUUCAGCCACAGCAACCUGUCACUCAAGAAGUCUGUGUGGGAACUGCUGAGUCACAGCCUGAACCUCUGAUUGAUCACCUGAGAUGAGCACUGAGUCAGCCACAGGAGCACAGGUGAAGGCAAUUCUCCUGUGCUGCCAGAAGGGAUGGAGCCUGGCUGCACCCCUCCUAGACCUAUUUAAGAGCUGGCUACCAGAGGGGAAGGAUCUCUUCUGGAGAUUGCCUCUGCUGGUGUUUUGUGAGUGAGCCUGGGAUAGGGUCCCACAGGGGUUGCAACUGCACAUUUCUGGAACCUGUGCUUUAUGUUUCUUCACUGCCAUACACAAGGAAAUAAAUCCCCUACAAAACCAAAGAGGAUGGAGAACAUGGUUCAGAGACGGCAUAGUUGCAGUGCGUUUAUCCUCACACAGACAGAAGCAUGACAGGAGAGGAGAGGAGACGUCAAAGAGAUUCUGCCAAACAGAGGAAUAUGGAUUUCCUCGCUCCCCUCACCAGCUGAUAUUUUCAAGAAGAUGCAAGGUUUUGCAAUGCACAAAUGCAUUAGCAAUGCAAAGAGAAUGGGAAAGGCUCUGACAUUUGCUGAAGUUCCAUUAAAAUGGUUCAGGUUGUGUAUACAGGAGGGGAAGAAUUUGGGGACUGGCUGGCUGCCCUAAAAAGCACGCAUUUUACAGGCUGCUGUCGGUGCUUUACCAGCAACUUCUCCUCCAUCUACUGCAACUCAGAAAAUAAUUUGUUUUAUCAUAGCUCACAUUCAAAAAGUAAAAAUACAAAAUAGAUGUUGCUUAUUUGAUUUUUGCAAACUCCAGACUUCGUGGUUGAUUUAUGCAAAAAUAUAUAAAAAAAUAUUCACUCCCAGUUAGGAUACAGGACUUAAAUGUAAAUACACACUGUGACGGCAGCAAAAAGCAGUUGAACAAAUGUCAAGUCUUACAUUCUUUUUUUUUUUUUUUUUUUUUUAAGGCAGAAUGAGGCAAAGAUAUUCUUGAACUUCAUGUCCACCCUUACAAAAAAGGUACAAUCCUAGAUAGGGAACAGAGAAGACAGUGUUUUCUACAAAAAUGGAUGAGAAAAUAUUUUCAAGUGGAUUUUCAAAGGUACUAGAGGAUUUAGGUUCUCAAUUGCAUGGAGUGGAAUUUGUAGGCUGUGCAGACUUGUCUGUAAAAGGACAAUUCCGCAGCCAAAUCACCUAUUGGGACUAUCAUAUCUGAGGUUUACACCUGCCUCUAGCUGACUUUGCAAGCCACUUGCCCUCUCUGUGCCUCAAGUUCUUUUUCUGUGAAGCAUCAAUUAGGAAAUUAAUUAGGAAAAUGUCGCACAGACAAGUGCUAAUGAUGCACUCAUUGUGGUGUGGUAGGAACAAUUAUUGGAGUCAUUUUGCCACAACUGGAAGCACAAAGUUGGAUUUUGCAUAAGAUUUACUGUAUAUGUAUAGAAUAAAUAAUUUUAUUUGCUCAGAAGAAAAAGAAAUCAAGCAGUACUUGCUACCUCUCUGUUAAAAUGAAGAG